AUGUAUGGCCACACAGAACUUCCCCUGGCAAGGAGAGGAAGCACAGCCGGGCACCUGGGGUCCGGGAAGAAGAAGAAAAGGGCCCCCAGUGGCGGAGGGUCCUGCGUGGUGCUGACGCGGAGGGAGUGGCUGCAUGGUCACUUCCUGCGAGGUGCUGAAGCCCCGCAGCCUCAGCCAGCGAAGAAGCAGCAGAGGAAGAAGACGUACCACUGGGCUCUCCAGGGAGGAACUGUUCUCCUGCUGAAGAUGCACUGUGAGCUCCGGGAGAGGACAUGACAGGGCUCAUGGACUCCAGCUGCCCUUUGUCCCACUUGCUGUCCACCUGCAUCUGACCUGGGGAGGGCCUAGUGGUGGCCGCCAUGGUGGACCCACUUGGCGCCGGCUGUGUGCCAGGUGGAGUUGGUGCCGCCCCCAGAGUGCUUGGACUUUGAGCCUCGCUGGAGGAGUUCACAGACCUACUGGGCUUCACCAGCACCAUGCAACCUGUGACCAAGAACACAUCUACAAGAUUGUUGCCAGCAAAGGAGGUUUUGAAAUGGUCAGCGAAGAAAAGAAAUGGUCCAAAGUCGAUAUCUGCUUGGGAUAUCUGCCAGGAAAAGAAACUGGAUCUCUCUUCAAAGUCUCACUAGGAAAGAAUUCUCUACUCAUAUGAGCUGUUCCAGUCUGGUGGAGUCAGUCUUAUGGGAGUGCUGACACCUAAUUUAGAUCUUAAGGAAAAAGUGGAACCU
Molecule: long non-coding RNA, 728 nt
Organism: Ochotona curzoniae (black-lipped pika)
Lineage: Eukaryota; Metazoa; Chordata; Mammalia; Lagomorpha; Ochotonidae
Exons: 3
Source: RefSeq, a predicted model, not a curated record